RNAcentral lists this long non-coding RNA (603 nucleotides) under Spirodela polyrhiza (greater duckweed). RNAcentral describes it as "long non-coding RNA (SPOL_LNC002658)". The record is from RNAcentral. Lineage: Eukaryota; Viridiplantae; Streptophyta; Magnoliopsida; Alismatales; Araceae.
AAUCCGAGAAGGGGGAGCCAUCUCCAAACCCUAGAUUACCGAAUUCCGCUGCCACCGGCCGGAGAGGACCAGCGGCGGCCGCAGGGGAGAAGAAGAUCUGCAACACAAUGGCUCUGGAAACCUGCUUCCAGGUGAGCACCGUCGCCCACUCCACCACCGCCGCCGCCGCCGCCAGGAACUGCAUCGCGCACCCCCACAAGCUGAACCUGCCGGCGAGCAGAGCCUCGAGGAGCGCCGCCUUCUCUCUCUCCCCGUCACCACCGGGGGCUUCGGGUUACCGAUCGACUGUCCUCGCGCCUCGGAGAGCCCGCGGUGGCCGCGUCGUCUGCCAGGCCAAUAACGCGGUCGCUGAAGGUGAGUGAACCUCUCCUGUUCUUAAUCCGGUGGUGUUGUUUGCGGAUCCGAUCUGAUUUUGGAGGUGCUCCGGAACGUCGAUCCAGUUAUUGAGGUGACGGAGGGGACCUGGAACGAUCUCGUCAUCAAGAACAGCAAGCUCGUGCUGGUCGACUUCUGGGCGCCGUGGUGCGGGCCCUGCCGGAUGAUCGAACCGGUGAUCAGCGAGCUCGCCAAGGAGUAUGCGGGGAAGAUCCUCUGCGUGAAGCU